RNAcentral lists this long non-coding RNA (486 nucleotides) under Pan troglodytes (chimpanzee). RNAcentral's name for it is "long non-coding RNA NONPTRT017850". The record is from RNAcentral. Lineage: Eukaryota; Metazoa; Chordata; Mammalia; Primates; Hominidae.
GUGGUGGCGGUGACAGAGACUGCAGCAUGACCAGAGUGGCUUUUCUGGCUUUGCCCGCCCAGCUGCUCUGUGCCAGGAGGAGGAGGAGACACCUAGAGCCUGCAACACCAUGGCUCGCCUCGCUGCGGGUGGGUGGCAGUGACAGAGACUGCAGUGCACCAGAACGGUAGGAGAGCGGCCACGCUAGGAGGGCAGGCGGCUGCAGGCAGGGUUGGGAGUCAGGCUUACAGCGAUGGACGGGCUGCAGCAGUGGCCAGGUGGUAGGAGCCUUGUAGGGAGGGCUGGUGCAUUGGCAAUGGGCCUGGCUUUGCCCUGUGCCUGCCGUGGAUCUGGCCCUGUACUGCCCUGCCUUGCCCUGUACCUGCCCUACUGUUACCUGGACUCUCGGCCCUGUCCUGCUCUGGUCCCAUCCUGUCCCUGUCUCGGCCCUGUGCUACCCUGUCCCUUCCCUGGUCUUGCCCUGGCACUGGCCCUGCCCCGAACCUG